RNAcentral lists this ribosomal RNA (430 nucleotides) under Pseudomonadota bacterium. RNAcentral's name for it is "Proteobacteria bacterium partial 16S ribosomal RNA". It matches the Rfam family "Bacterial small subunit ribosomal RNA", at positions 355 to 776 of the family's 1533-position model. The record is from RNAcentral. Lineage: Bacteria; Pseudomonadati; Pseudomonadota.
UGGGGAAUAUUGGACAUUGGGGGGAACCCUGAUCCAGCCAUGCCGCGUGUGUGAAGAAGGCCUUAUGGUUGUAAAGCACUUUAAGCGAGGAGGAGGGUACUGGUAUUAAUACUACCAGGUACUGGACGUUACUCGCAGAAUAAGCACCGGCUAACUCUGUGCCAGCAGCCGCGGUAAUACAGAGGGUGCGAGCGUUAAUCGGACUUACUGGGCGUAAAGCGUGCGUAGGCGGCUAAUUGAGUCGGAUGUGAAAUCCCCGAGCUUAACUUGGGAAUUGCAUUCGAUACUGGUUAGCUAGAGUGUGGGGGAGGAUGGUAGAAUUCCAGGUGUAACGGUGAAAUGCGUAGAGAUCUGGAGGAAUAACGAUGGCGAAGGCAGCCAUCUGGCAUAACACUGACGCUGAGGUACGAAAGCAGGGGGAGCAAACAGG